This is a long non-coding RNA of Hibiscus syriacus, 259 nucleotides long. RefSeq lists it as uncharacterized. The record is from RefSeq and is a predicted model, not a curated record. The transcript is spliced from 3 exons. Lineage: Eukaryota; Viridiplantae; Streptophyta; Magnoliopsida; Malvales; Malvaceae.
AACAAGUCAACCUGCUUCUAAAUACUGAUGUCCAAUUGUUGAUUCCAAAUUCUUACGUCUCUCAUCCACAUCUUGAUUCAGCUAUCUAAUCAUCUUGCCAAGGGUACUACAACAAGAGCCAUGUUGUAAAAUCAUUACAAAAGUAUCCGGAAUCGUUCAGUGUAUGGGAUGGUACUGGGUAAUACCUCGUUUUGGUGGCAACUUCCUCAAGAUGAAAAGGACUAGAGAUGAAGGUAAAUAUAUAAAGUAUUGAUGAAAA